UUGUACUUUCCCCUUCUCCCCUGCCUUAUACAUUGCAGUUUUGAGAUGAAGAGAACUCUGUGUCAUGCACCUGGGAAUAGCAUCUUUCUGUGGAAGCACUCAUCUCUCACUGACAUCAUCCAAGUGCAGGAAGCAUGAAGGAGUGUUCCCUUGCUUGUAUGAAUUCAUGCAUCAGGGUGAUCAGGGUGGAACCAUCCUGUGUAGCGGAAGGCAGAGCAGAAGCUGCAGGAGCACACAGUCUCACAGAUUUACCAUUCAUCAGCUGGCAGUCCUGGUGCACACCAUUUAUGGCAAUUAAGAAGAAACACACUGCCAUCCAAACAAACCAAGAAAAAUUGUAUCAACUGAACCUUUACCUCUGGGAGGACGUGGUCACAGAGUUGCUGGAAAAGUUCAUCUGCCUCCCAGGUUAGGACAGACGUGUCCAAAUCCAAAUAAAAUGUGUUAUAAUCAUCACUUUAAAGUUAUCAGAGUGGAUUUUCCUAGCUGCAUGAAGUAACCAGUGUGAUGCCAAUCAGUGAAGGACCCAACAGCACUGUAGCAAAAGUUUAUACUACCGUGACCGCUGCAGUUUAUUCAAAUGUGAUCAAGUUGGCUGAAAUAGGAGCUAGCAUUUAGAUAACACAGGUGUGAACACCUUGAGGACAUUUAUCAUGAGCAUGGUCCAUGUUUUUUCUGGAACAACCCACAAAAAAGCCCAACAUCAAUUACAGAGGUAAGCAAUCCUUUGUAGCUGUGCAGUAACUAGGUAAGAUGUUUCUAUAGAAACAGUGUUACCAGUGCUCUUGUCCGUCAGAACAGAAAUCCCAAGCCAACUAUGCCUUGAAAUAUUCCAUGAUUUUUUUUUUUUUUUCUCAGAAGGACAUAUCUUGCUCAGGAGAGCCUAGGUCUUAUCUAACAUGUAUGCAAAGUACUUGACCUGGGAUUGCCUGGGAACAAACCCAGAACCAGAUAAUUCAGCAGAACACGGGUCCACGGGUAAGAGAUGUCUGUGCCUUCCUCACAUUCUCCAUGCUUCUUUUUCAAUUAGGUUCUGUCCUGACAAUCCACGGUCAGGCAGAAGAUCAGCUAAAACCGUUGGCAGUCGGAGGUUGGAGGUAGCCUGAGCAUUUGGCAAGCUGAAAGCAAGACAAUAACAGGUAAUAGAGGAGCCAGUGCAGAAAGAUGUGUGCUGCUGGACCUUAUGGUGACAAACAGAGAAAGUCUGGAGAUGUGAUGUGAGCAUUGGGGGAAGCCUUGACUACAACAACCACAAGAUCAAGGAGUUUGGUACCUGCAAGAAGCCGAGCAAUGAAAAGCUUACACACCUGAGCUUCAGAACAACUUUGCCCUCUUCAGGAAUCUUCUUGGAAUAAUCAUAUGGGAAUAUGCCUUAGAGAAUGAAUGAGAAAUUUAGCAAAAAAGGCAAGAGACCUGCACGGAUGAACAAGAAACUCCUAUGAAAACUCACACAUUAGCAGGAGAUACAUGAGGUGUAGGGGACGUGAUACUUCGGAUGAAUAUAGGGAAGUUAUCAGAGUAUACAGAAAUGAAAUGAGAAAGGCCGAGGCCCAUUUGGAACUAAAUAUGACUAAGGAUGUCAUGGACAACAAGAAGAACUUUUCCAAUUAAUUUUAAUAUAAAUCAAUUUCAAUGUAAUUUAAAUUAAUAACAAAAGUAAUACUAAGGAAAAUGUGGACCCACCAUUGAAUGGAACAGGAAACUGCAGCAGAACUUUCAAAGAAAGCUGAACACCUUCUUUCUUUCAGUCUUCAUUGACAAUGCCAGCCCUCAGGAGUCCCUGACCCAAAAGACCACAGAGGUCUGGAGGAAGGAUGACUUUCCAUUGUUUGAGGAGGUUCAGGCUACAGACCAUUUGGUCAAAUUUGACAUCCAGAAGUCCAUGGGCUCUGGUGGGAUUUGCCAAAGAGUGCCAAGGGAACUGGCACACACCAUUGUUAUGGCACUCUCAUCUUUGUAAGAUCAUGGCAGUCAGGAGAGAGGCCAGGGGGCUGGAAGAAAGUAAAUGUCACCCCAGUAUUCAAAAAGGGAGAGAAGGAGGAACAGGCCAGUCAGCCUCACCUGGAAGAGAAUGUUCUGGAGAUCAUUUUAAUCAUGUAGAAGACAAGAUGGUGAUCAGUAGUCAGUAUGCAUUCACCGAAGGGAAGUCAUGCUUAACCAGCCUGAUUACUUUUCAUGAUGGGACAACUGGCUGGAGACUUGGGGGGAGAGCAGUGGGUGUUGCCUACCUGGAUUUCAGAAAGGAUUUCAACAAGGUUUUCCAUGAGAUCCUCAUAGGUGAGCUCAGGGAGAGUGAGCUGAAUGAGUGGAUAGUGAGGUGGAUUGAGAACUGGCAGAGUUCAGAGGGUUGUUAUCAGUGGUACAAGUUGAAGACCUGUAACUAGUGGUGUUCCCCAAGGUUCAGUAUUGAGCCCAGUAUUGUUUAACCUAUUACGUGCCAUACGGACACAAUCCUGAGCAAUGUGCUCUAGGAUGAUUCUGCUUGAGCAGGGAGGUCGGACUGGGUGGCCUUACCCAUUCUAUGAUUCUGUAAAAAACUAGCAUGAAAUAUGUCCUUUGGUAGUUAAAACAAAAUCCUCAAUAGUUUUAAGGUAUCAGGACCUAUUUGCAAAAAUCUAAAAGGUACAUUCAUAUUCACCUUUGAAUUAUUUUAAAUUUAAAGGAAACUAUACUGUGAUAAGUUUCAUUUUAAUUGCAUCAUACAUAAAAAAACCUCACUAAUCUGCAUUUCACUUAUGUAUGAACAGUCCAAAACAGCCUUCAAUUUCUUCCAGUGUCUACUUUAAAGUCUUUCUUUCUGUAGGUUGUGUUCCAGUAUGCAUGUGAACACUAUCAUGCUCAUUGCUGGAUGCUGGAAGAUCUCAGCAAUGGAUACGGAUGAUGAUGAGGAAGAAUAACAGGUCAGGCUCACCUGUGUAUUUUCUAGAAUGGUCACUUGUUUUUCUGCAGGUGUCCUCUUGACUGCAAACAUUGUGGAGCAGAAAUAAUUUUUAGCAUAAUAACACUUCAGAUACUCCACUAGCUCUUAAUAAAAGAAAAACAAAAAAUGCAGAUAAUUAUAGCCAAAUAACAACCCGUAAAAGGAAUUAAUGAAACUUUUGUGGAUUGACUACCCUCUGGUUUUCAUUAUUUAUUCACUUUGAUGUUAAUUUGCAAAAUUCUGUAAUUCACCAUAGCUCUCCCUAUCAUUAAUGCAAAUUAACAAGUUUCUACUGUAAUGCAGUUAUUAUUAUCUUCUCUUGCAUGUAUGCACACAUUUCUUUAAUUAAAAUAUGCUGUAUUUUUAAAAAUCAGAUUACCAGGUACAAAGGAAACAGAAAAUAUGAACAAUGUACUUAGCUAUUUAGAUAAAAGCUAGGAGCAUUGAGAAUGACAGAGGUCUUUUUAUUUGUUUAAUAAAAAUUAGACAAAUGUAAGAGAAAAAUUUUAA
Taeniopygia guttata (zebra finch) is the source of this 3430-nucleotide non-coding RNA. The record is from RefSeq and is a predicted model, not a curated record. NCBI's taxonomy places the organism in Eukaryota, Metazoa, Chordata, Aves, Passeriformes, Estrildidae.